GACGAACCGUACGAACGUUAUUCGGAAUUACUGGGCUUAAAGGGUGCGUAGGCGGCGCGGAAAGUUGGGUGUGAAAUCCCUUGGCUCAACCAAGGAACUGCGCUCAAAACUACCGUGCUUGAGGAAGACAGAGGUGAGUGGAACUUAGGGUGGAGCGGUGAAAUGUGUUGAUAUCCUAAGGAACACCGGUGGCGAAGGCGACUCACUGGGUCUUUUCUGACGCUGAGGCACGAAAGCUAGGGGAGCGAACGGG
Molecule: ribosomal RNA, 253 nt
Filed under: uncultured bacterium
Lineage: Bacteria
Description: partial 16S ribosomal RNA
Rfam family: Bacterial small subunit ribosomal RNA
Source: RNAcentral